AGGGGUUUGUCCGGGAGUUACUGGGCGUAAGCGCCCGCAGGCGGUCUGUUAAGUUCAGGGUGACAGUCAUCAGCUUAACUGGUGAAGUGUCUUGAAAACUGGCGGACUUGAGGACCAGAGAGGGACCUGGAAUUCCGGGUGGAGCAGUGAAAUGCGUAGAUAUCCGGAGGAACACCAAAGGCGAAGGCAGGGUCCUGGCUGGCACCUGACGCUGAGGGGCGAAAGCUAGGGGAGCGAACGGGAUUAGAUACCCCGGUAGUCCUAGCCGUAAACAAUGACCACUAGGUGUGCGGGGUUCGACCCCCUGCGUGCCGUAGUUAACGCAAUAAGUGGUCCGCCUGGGGAGUACGGUCGCAAGACUAAAACUCAAAGGAAUUGACGGGGACCCGCACAAGCAGCGGAGCGUGUGGUUUAAUUCGACGCGACACGAAGAACCUUACCAGGGCUUGACAUGCAGUCGCACCGUCCAGAGAUGGACGUGCCCGCAAGGGACGGCUGCACAGGUGCUGCAUGGCUGUCGUCAGCUCGUGCCGUGAGGUGUUGGGUUAAGUCCCGCAACGAGCGCAACCCCCAUCGUCAGUUACAAUGUCUGACGAGACUGCCACUAACUAGGUGGAGGAAGGUGGGGAUGACGUCAAGUCAGCACGGCCCUGAUGUCCUGGGCUACACACACGCUACAAUGGCCGAGACAAAGAGUGGCGAACCCGCGAGGGUGAGCGAAUCUUAGCAAACUCGGUCUCAGUUCGGAUGGCAGGCUGCAACCCGCCUGCCUGAAGUCGGAGUUGCUAGUAACCGUGAGUCAGCAUAUCACAGUGAAUACGUUCCCGGGUCUUGUACACACCGCCCGUCACACCACGAAAGUCGGCAACACCUGAAGUCGGUGACCGAACCGCAAGGGCGGAGCCGCCGAAAGUGGGGCUAGUAACUGGGACGAAGUCGUAACAAGGUAACC
This 952-nucleotide ribosomal RNA is filed under the name uncultured bacterium. RNAcentral's name for it is "bacterial SSU rRNA". It matches the Rfam family "Bacterial small subunit ribosomal RNA", at positions 534 to 1501 of the family's 1533-position model. The record is from RNAcentral.